UAUAUUAUGGAUCCUGGAUCUCUACUUCAAUGUUCAUUGCCUGGAUCCAUUUGGCUAAUAGGUUCCCUGUGGAAGGGCUUGCUUCCAAGCACAUACAUGGAAGAUGCAACGGUGGGUGUGCCUGGUGGGGGACAGGAAGAAGACCAAAAACAGACAAGGGUCGACCUCCCUGAUCCAGGAACUGCUACGGGAGAGGGUACGGGAGGUAGAAUCCAUGCGAAACUCCAAGGUCACCAGCUGAACACAGGAGGCACAGGUAAAGGGAUCUGGAGAUGCAGGGGUUGAAGGCUGCUCUGAUCUACCUCUGGGAGGAAGGGAGGGAAGGAAUGAGAAGGAGACACUGGCUGCCCCUGGCCCAUUCCAGCUGCCCACCGCUCCGACACACAUCAGUCUACGACAGCUGACACAGCUUGGGCUCAGGAUGGGCUGUCUCGGGUCCUCAAUCCCACGAAAGUGACUCUAAUAAUUCUGACACACGAUAGCUAGGACCCAAACUGGGAUUAGAUACCCCACUAUGCCUAGCCCUAAACCCAAAUAGUUACAUAACAAAACUAUUCGCCAGAGUACUACUCGCAACUGCCUAAAACUCAAAGGACUUGGCGGUGCUUCACAUCCACCUAGAGGAGCCUGUUCUAUAAUCGAUAAACCCCGAUAGACCUUACCAACCCUUGCCAAUUCAGCCUAUAUACCGCCAUCUUCAGCAAACCCUAAAAAGGAACAAUAGUAAGCACAAUCAUAACACAUAAAAACGUUAGGUCAAGGUGUAGCUUAUGGGUUGGAAAGAAAUGGGCUACAUUUUCUACAUAAGAACACCCACCAUACGAAAGUUUUUAUGAAACUAAAAACCAAAGGAGGAUUUAGCAGUAAAUCAAGAAUAGAGUGCUUGAUUGAAUAAGGCCAUGAAGCACGCACACACCGCCCGUCACCCUCCUCAAGCAUGUAGUAAUAAAAAUAACCUAUAUUUAAUUACACAACCAUGCAAGAAGAGACAAGUCGUAACAAGGUAAGCAUACUGGAAAGUGUGCUUGGACUAC
RNAcentral lists this ribosomal RNA (1034 nucleotides) under Sus scrofa cristatus. Its description in RNAcentral is "12S ribosomal RNA". The stretch from base 270 to 1034 matches the Rfam family "Bacterial small subunit ribosomal RNA". Lineage: Eukaryota; Metazoa; Chordata; Mammalia; Artiodactyla; Suidae. The record is from RNAcentral.